UUUUGUAGUGAUAUUUCCAUUUAAAAAUAUAGUAAUUCUUCUGAUCUCAGAAGCUAAGCAGGGUCGGGCCUGGUUAGUACUUGGGUGAGAAACCACCUAGGAAAGCCAGGUGCUGUAGGUG
Pteropus vampyrus (large flying fox) is the source of this 121-nucleotide ribosomal RNA. The record is from Ensembl. NCBI's taxonomy places the organism in Eukaryota, Metazoa, Chordata, Mammalia, Chiroptera, Pteropodidae.